CUACGGAGGGUGCAAGCGUUAUCCGGAAUCAUUGGGUUUAAAGUGUCCGUAGGCGGACUAUUAAGUCAGAGGUGAAAUCCCACAGCUCAACUGUGGAACUGCCUUUGAUACUGGUAGUCUUGAGUUAUAUGGAAGUAGAUAGAAUGCGUAGUGUAGCGGUGAAAUGCAUAGAUAUUACACAGAAUACCGAUUGCGAAGGCAGUCUACUACGUAUAUACUGACGCUAAGGGACGAAAGCGUGGGGAGCGAACAGAAUUAGAAACCCCAGUAGUCC
This 274-nucleotide ribosomal RNA is filed under the name uncultured bacterium. RNAcentral describes it as "partial 16S ribosomal RNA". It matches the Rfam family "Bacterial small subunit ribosomal RNA", at positions 523 to 796 of the family's 1533-position model. The record is from RNAcentral.